CCCGCUGAACUUAAGCAUAUCAAUAAGGCGAGGAAUAGAAACCAACAGGGAUUCCCCCAGUAGUGGCGAAUGAAGCGGGAAAAGCUCAAGUUUGAAAUCUGGCAGGCGACUGUCCAGAGUUGUAAGCUGGAGAGGUUUCAUCCGACGCGGUCCGGGCUCAAUUUCCUUGGAACAGGAGGUCAUGGAGGGUGAGAACCCCGUACAUGGCUUGGGUGCCGCAGUCCUAGUGAUGGUUCCUCUAAGAGUCGGGUUGUUUGGGAAUGCAGCUCAAAAUGGGUGGUAAAUUUCAUCUAAAGCUAAAUAUUGGCGAGAGACCGAUAGCAAACAAGUAGAGUGAUCGAAAGAUGAAAAGUACUUUGAAAAGAGAGUGAAACAGUACGUGAAAUUGUUGAAAGGGAAGCGUUUGGCAUCAGCCCAUGAUGGUCAUCGAACAUCCUGGCUUCUGCCUGGUGCACUCGAUGGCCAUUGGGCCAGCGUCGGCUCUGCCAGCUGGAGAAAGGCCUUGGACAAGUGGCUCCUUUUCGGGAGCGUUAUAGCCCAUGGCGUCAUGCAGCUUGGUGGGGCCGAGGUCCGCGGGUUUUCCUAGGACGCUGGCGUAAUGGUUCCAAGCGACCCGUCUUGAAACACGG
This 629-nucleotide ribosomal RNA is filed under the name uncultured fungus. Its description in RNAcentral is "eukaryotic LSU rRNA". It matches the Rfam family "Eukaryotic large subunit ribosomal RNA", at positions 24 to 664 of the family's 3401-position model. The record is from RNAcentral. Lineage: Eukaryota; Fungi.